AACGAACGCUGGCGGCAGGCCUAACACAUGCAAGUCGAACGCCGUAGCAAUACGGAGUGGCAGACGGGUGAGUAACGCGUGGGAACAUACCCUUUGGUUCGGAAUAACUCAGGGAAACUUGAGCUAAUACCGGAUACGUCCGAGGUUUAAUCGGCCUUGGAGAAAGAUUAUCGCCGGAGGAUUGGCCCGCGUCUGAUUAGCUUGUUGGUGAGGUAAUGGCUCACCAAGGCGACGANCAGUAGCUGGUCUGAGAGGAUGAUCAGCCACAUUGGGACUGAGACACGGCCCAAACUACCUACGGGA
RNAcentral lists this ribosomal RNA (303 nucleotides) under uncultured bacterium. RNAcentral describes it as "bacterial SSU rRNA". It matches the Rfam family "Bacterial small subunit ribosomal RNA", at positions 29 to 346 of the family's 1533-position model. The record is from RNAcentral.